GAUCUGGGUUAGAUUUGCUGAACUUAUCUUGGUAAAAGAUAUAAUCAUAAUUAAAUCAGAACCACAUCUUUUUUCAUUGUCGAUGUCUUUUUCUUCAUCUUCUUUCUCUAUUAUUUUUCUCUAAUGAAUCUAAACAAAAUUGAAGAAGAUCACGAGUUCCAAAUCAAUCCAUCAUUUAUUAGUUCAUCUGGUCCUUUUUCCAUGAGUACAUGAGGUGGUGGCUGCGGCGGACAGGAGAAGGGUCAAUGCGUCUGUUUUUGACGAGGAAAGUGGAAGAAAAACGUGAUUGACGAAUGGCAGCCUCGGACCAAAAACAUUGGAAACAACUCAACUGUAUAGGGAAAAGAGAAGUCAUAUGAAGGGAAUGGGACCAAUGGUGAAUGUGGAGAUUUUAAAUCCAAGAGUUGACUUAGCUUUUCUAUUGUGAUAUAGAUGCAUAUAGUUAUUUAAGCAAGAAUGUGUUUUGGGUAUGGUCUUUGGUUACGGAAAAGUUUAACAUGGUUAAGAUUAUUUUUGGUUUGAUGAUCUUUCUUGUAACCGAGUAAUUAUAUACAAAACCGGGUAUAAAAUAUUAGCAUUGUUUGUUUUUCUGUUGGCUUGUUAAACUUGAGUGUAACCAAUAAUGUAAUAAAUUAUCGUGUAAUGAUUUUUUAUUUAUUUUUGAGUUGUUGCC
Raphanus sativus (radish) is the source of this 673-nucleotide long non-coding RNA. RefSeq lists it as uncharacterized. Lineage: Eukaryota; Viridiplantae; Streptophyta; Magnoliopsida; Brassicales; Brassicaceae. The record is from RefSeq and is a predicted model, not a curated record. The transcript is spliced from 2 exons.